UUGCAAUGAUGUUCUGAAUUUCUUCACCUGAACCAAUGGUGUGGAUUUAAAAUACGAGCUUUUUAACCCUGAGCAUC
Molecule: small nucleolar RNA, 77 nt
Organism: Chanos chanos (milkfish)
Lineage: Eukaryota; Metazoa; Chordata; Actinopteri; Gonorynchiformes; Chanidae
Source: RefSeq, a predicted model, not a curated record